This 69-nucleotide transfer RNA is filed under the name Heterocephalus glaber (naked mole-rat). It matches the Rfam family "tRNA". Rfam says of the family: Transfer RNA (tRNA) molecules are approximately 80 nucleotides in length. Their secondary structure includes four short double-helical elements and three loops (D, anti-codon, and T loops). Further hydrogen bonds mediate the characteristic L-shaped molecular structure. tRNAs have two regions of fundamental functional importance: the anti-codon, which is responsible for specific mRNA codon recognition, and the 3' end, to which the tRNAs corresponding amino acid is attached (by aminoacyl-tRNA synthetases). tRNAs cope with the degeneracy of the genetic code in two manners: having more than one tRNA (with a specific anti-codon) for a particular amino acid; and 'wobble' base-pairing, i.e. permitting non-standard base-pairing at the 3rd anti-codon position. The record is from Rfam by way of RNAcentral. Lineage: Eukaryota; Metazoa; Chordata; Mammalia; Rodentia; Bathyergidae.
GGGGAUGUAGCUCAGUGGUAGAGCACUUGCUUAGCAUGCACAAAGCUCUGAGUUCAACCUCCAUCACCA